RNAcentral lists this ribosomal RNA (1324 nucleotides) under metagenome. RNAcentral's name for it is "bacterial LSU rRNA". It matches the Rfam family "Bacterial large subunit ribosomal RNA", at positions 1561 to 2925 of the family's 2925-position model. The record is from RNAcentral.
AGUGGAUGGGGAGCAACCUAGUUGUGCGUGUGUAAAGGUAGUGCCAAGAAAAGCGGUGAUCAUGAUGAAAAUCAAUUCCCGGUACCCGAAACCGACACAGGUGGGCAAGUAGAGAAUACUAAGGGGCGCGAGGUAACUCUCUCCAAGGAACUCGGCAAAAUGACCCCGUAACUUAGGGAGAAGGGGUGCCACCGAGAGGUGGUCGCAGUGAAGAGGCCCAGGCGACUGUUUAGCAAAAAUAUAGGUCUCUGCAAACUCGAAAGAGGAGGUAUAGGGGCUGACGCCUGCCCAGUGCCGGAAGGUUAAAGAAGUUGGUCAGUCUUAGGAUAAAGCUAGCGACUGAAGCCCCGGUGAACGGCGGCCGUAACUAUAACGGUCCUAAGGUAGCGAAAUUCCUUGUCGGGUAAGUUCCGACCCGCACGAAAGGCGUAACGAUCUGGGCGCUGUCUCGGAGAGAGGCUCGGCGAAAUAGGAUUGUCUGUGACGAUACGGACUACCUGCAUUUGGACAGAAAGACCCUAUGAAGCUUUACUAUAGCUUGGAAUUGUGUUCGGGCUUCCUGUGCGCAGGAUAGGUGGGAGGCGUAGAAGGUAUUCUUGUGGGGAUACUGGAGCCAACGGUGAGAUAGCACUCUCAGGAGGCUAGAAUUCUAACUUAAUUAAGGACAGUUUCAGGUGGGUAGUUUGACUGGGGCGGUCGCCUCCAAAAAGGUAACGGAGGCGUACAAAGGUUCCCUCAGACUGGUUGGAAAUCAGUCGCAGAGUGCAAAGGCAGAAGGGAGCUUGACUGCGAGAAGUACAGUUCGAGCAGGGUGGAAACACGGUCUUAGUGAUCCGACGGUGCUGUGUGGAAGGGCCGUCGCUCAACGGAUAAAAGUUACUCUAGGAUAACAGGCUGAUCUCCCCCAAGAGUUCACAUCGACGGGGAGGUUUGGCACCUCGAUGUCGGCUCAUCGCAACCUGGGGCGGAAGUACGUCCCAAGGGUUGGCUGUUCGCCCAUUAAAGCGGUACGUGAGUUGGGUUCAGAACGUCGUGAGACAGUUCGGUCCAUAUCCGAUGUAGGCGUGAGAAUAUUGAGAGGAGCCUUCCUUAGUACGAGAGGACCGGGAAGGACGCACCGCUGGUGUACCUGUUAUGAUGCCAAUUGUAAACGCAGGGUAGCCAAGUGCGGAGAGGAUAACCGCUGAAAGCAUCUAAGUGGGAAGCCCACCUCAAGAUGAGUAUUCUGGUGUAAGGUCACGGGAAGACGACCCGUAAAUAGGCACGAGGUGGAAGUGCAGAGAUGUAUGAAGCCGAAGUGUACUAAUAGACCGUCGGCUUGACC